AUACGGAGGAUCCAAGCGUUAUCCGGAUUUAUUGGGUUUAAAGGGUGCGCAGGCGGAAGAUUAAGUCGGCGGUGAAAUUUUGCAGCUCAACUGUAAAAGUGCCAUCGAUACUGGUUUUCUUGAGUGUGGAUGAAGUAGGCGGAAUUUGUGGUGUAGCGGUGAAAUGCAUAGAUAUCACGAGGAACUCCGAUUGCGCAGGCAGCUUACUAGGCCAUAACUGACGCUCAGGCACGAAGGCGUGGGGAUCAAACAGGAUUAGAUACCCUGGUAGUCCACGCAGUAAACGAUGAUUACUCGCUGUUUGCGAUACACUGUAAGCGGCACAGCGAAAGCGUUAAGUGAUCCACCUGGGGAGUACGCCGGCAACGGUGAAACUCAAAGGAAUUGGCGGG
Molecule: ribosomal RNA, 392 nt
Filed under: uncultured bacterium
Lineage: Bacteria
Description: partial 16S ribosomal RNA
Rfam family: Bacterial small subunit ribosomal RNA
Source: RNAcentral